Molecule: transfer RNA, 74 nt
Filed under: Thermoplasmatales archaeon
Lineage: Archaea; Methanobacteriati; Thermoplasmatota; Thermoplasmata; Thermoplasmatales
Also listed under: 1 other name
Description: tRNA-Met
Rfam family: tRNA
About the family: Transfer RNA (tRNA) molecules are approximately 80 nucleotides in length. Their secondary structure includes four short double-helical elements and three loops (D, anti-codon, and T loops).
Source: RNAcentral
GCCGGGGUGGCUUAGCAGGUUAGAGCGUCGGACUCAUAAUCCGAAGGUCGCGUGUUCAAGUCACGCCCCCGGCA